AUUGAACGCUGGCGGCAGGCCUAACACAUGCAAGUCGAGCGUGCGGCGGGCGGGUGAGUAAUGCCUGGGAAUUCCCCAGUAGAGGGGGAUAACAGUUGGAAAAGACUGCUAAUACCGCAUACGAUUGGAUUGCCCAGGUGUGAUUAGCUUGUUGGUGGGGUAAUGGCUCACCAAGGCGACGAUCCCUAGCUGGUCUGAGAGGAUGAUCAGCCACACUGGAACUGAGACACGGUCCAGACUCCUACGGGAGGCAGCAGUGGGGAAUAUUGCACAAUGGGGGAAAGCCUGAUGCAGCCAUGCCGCGUGUGUGAAGAAGGCCUUCGGGUUGUAAAGCACUUUCAGCGAGGAGGCGUUACUCGCAGAAGAAGCACCGGCUAACUCCGUGCCAGCAGCCGCGGUAAUUC
RNAcentral lists this ribosomal RNA (404 nucleotides) under uncultured bacterium. RNAcentral's name for it is "partial 16S ribosomal RNA". It matches the Rfam family "Bacterial small subunit ribosomal RNA", at positions 30 to 526 of the family's 1533-position model. The record is from RNAcentral.